GACGAACCGUGCGAACGUUAUUCGGAAUCACUGGGCUUAAAGCGCGUGUAGGCGGGACGGCACGUCGGUCGCUGAAAUCCCCCGGCUUAACCGGGGAACGGGCGCCGAUACGACCGUCCUGGAGGAACGUAGGGGGAGCUGGAACUUCCGGUGGAGCGGUGAAAUGCGUUGAGAUCGGAAGGAACGCCCGUGGCGAAAGCGAGCUCCUGGACGUUUUCUGACGCUGAGACGCGAAAGCCAGGGGAGCGAACGGG
RNAcentral lists this ribosomal RNA (254 nucleotides) under uncultured bacterium. Its description in RNAcentral is "partial 16S ribosomal RNA". It matches the Rfam family "Bacterial small subunit ribosomal RNA", at positions 524 to 776 of the family's 1533-position model. The record is from RNAcentral.